RNAcentral lists this long non-coding RNA (2204 nucleotides) under Selaginella moellendorffii. Its description in RNAcentral is "long non-coding RNA (SMOE_LNC001127)". The record is from RNAcentral. Lineage: Eukaryota; Viridiplantae; Streptophyta; Lycopodiopsida; Selaginellales; Selaginellaceae.
GUGAUUGGUGAGGCUCCAGAGAUUGUGGACAGGCUAUCGCCAACUUUGAGAUCAGCAGCUCGCUUGUAAAUUAUCUCUCCUUUGGUGUUAACUGGGACAAAGUGACCGGCUGUAAGCUCCAAGGUGUUGGCUUCGGUCUUGACUUGCACGAAUUCAGAGACAACAUCUAGAUCCUUGUGACCAAACGCGUAGAUAUCCGAAAAUGAAUUCUUCCCAACAGCAACCUGUAGAAACUCAUUAAUCAUGUGAAGCAAAGUGGAUUACUAGCUAGGAUCUUGCCUUAUCUCCAAUCUUAAGUUCCUUCAUGGUCUUCAUUUCUCCACUGUACAUAUGAACCAUUGCAUCACCUAGAUAGAUAUUGCAUGGUUACAUAGCACAGUGUAAUUUGUAGAGAAUAACUUUAUUACCUGGAAAGCAUCCAGGGUUUUGACAUAUUCCAUUGUUACAUGUGAAUCCAGUUAGCCCCGCUGUUGUGCAAUCAGCAGUAGUAGUGCAACUCACUAUAUUAGUAGCAAAUACAGUGGAAAACAAUCCAAGAAGAGAGACCACAGCAAACACAGCAGCUAGAGAAGCCAUUGCCUUUCAAAUAUACUUAAGAAGACACUAAGCAUAUGAAGCAUCAUUGGCCAUGCACUGCUUAAAUAGGAUGAACUUAAACGUAAUUACAUGUGAUAUGAUUUUCUGGGGAAGAAUAUGGGUGAGUGAGCGAAACAUCUUAGCUAUAUCAAUUGUCAAACAUCUAGUACAUAUAUUGUCUACCUAGUUCUAUAUUUUUAAGCAGGUGAUGCUUUGGUACACCUGUAUAAUGCGAUGGACUUUAAAAUUGGAUAAUUCCAGUCUUCAACUAUAGUAAUUGCACUAUUAUGAACUAAUAAAACCUUGUAAUAAAUUUUUUAAUAAAGUUCUUUAAAUGUUAGAAAUAUAUGUAAAGCUUUUUGCAAUUGCCAUAAAUUACUUAGAAUAAUGAGUUUUGAUAUCAUCAAUUGAGAAUUUAUUUACAUUUAGAAGGAUUAUAUUAUUAUUAUAGUACACACAAACAUUUACAUGUGUUUACUUGCUCUUGAAUAUGAACUAUUUCAUUUCAUUUUUCUUUUUUGCCUUUUCAUUUUCUUUUCUUUCAUUUUCAUGGCUGGACAAACUCCUUAUUUGAUUCUAAAGUAACAAUUGGUGCAAUUUGUGUAAUUGCUUGAUGCUAUAUAGUUGCAAUUGAUCAAUCAAACUUAGUUGGUAAUGACAUUCAUGUCCAAAUUAAAAUAAUCAUAUGACUAACUACACAAAUAUUAAUAUAUGGCAUUGUAACUGUACACCUCGAACUCACACGUAUAACUAAAAAAAUUAAUAAAAAAAACUCCACACAUGUGUAAAUAUAUAAUGUAUGCAUACAUAAUCACAUAUUCAUUGUUUUGUGUUGUAAACUUUAGUUUCCUCAAGGAAAAAAUCCUUACUUUAUACUUUUGACAUCUAUCUUUUUAUGAUGUUUUAAUAAAAUAUCUUAAGUUCAAUAUAGUUGGUUAGAAAAACCAAGAUUAAAAUGCUAUGACGAUAAACAUGACAACAGUAAUUCUUCAUAAAAAAAUUUGGCGGCUCUAAAUGGAGCGAGCUGCAAAGGCUAGAGCUCCAAGACCAAUGGUGACCGCAAUGGUGGCUCCAUACUUGGUGCCAGAGUCUGCCACAUUCACGCAAGAAUCGAGCAUGGAGUAGCCAGCCGAGUAGAGCUUGCUUCCAGCGAUGUUGUAAAGAGCACGAACUGGAGCGAGCAGUGACUGGUAUGCAUAUGGGAGGUAUUCGCUUGCACCAAGGGCAUCGAACAGAGAAUCUAAGAACCAUUCGCUGUGAACAGAGGCCACUACGUUAUUGACAAGAAUGUCGCCCGACAGUGUCAAGGGGUUGUAGAGUCCCAGCUUGUCAACCUUUGAGAUCUCUGCGUAUAUCAAGAUUGUGUUAUUACAGAGCAUUAAGAGGUGUGGUUUCUUGUACCUGUGAUUGGUGAGGCUCCAGAGAUUGUGGACAGGCUAUCGCCAACUUUGAGAUCAGCAGCUCGCUUGUAAAUUAUCUCUCCUUUGGUGUUAACUGGGACAAAGUGACCGGCUGUAAGCUCCAAGGUGUUGGCUUCGGCCUUGACUUGCACGAAUUCAGAGACAACGUCUAGAUCCUUGUGACCAAAUGCGUAGAUAUCCGAAAAUGAAUUCUUCCCAACAGCAACC